UACGGGGGGGGCAAGCGUUGUUCGGAAUUACUGGGCGUAAAGGGCUCGUAGGCGGCCAACUAAGUCGGAUGUGAAACUCCCAGUCCUUAACGUGGGAACUGCAUCCGAUACUGGAUGGCGUUGAAGUCCGGGAGAGGGAUGCAGAAUUCCAGGUGAUAGCGGUGAAAUGCGUAGGAUAAUCGUGGAGGAAUACCGGGUGGCCGGAAGGCGGCAUCCUGGACCGGCAUUGAACCGGCUGAGUGGAGCGAAAGCCAGGGGACGCAAACGGG
RNAcentral lists this ribosomal RNA (269 nucleotides) under uncultured bacterium. RNAcentral's name for it is "partial 16S ribosomal RNA". It matches the Rfam family "Bacterial small subunit ribosomal RNA", at positions 524 to 776 of the family's 1533-position model. The record is from RNAcentral.